GAUGAACGCUGGCGGCGUGCCUAAUACAUGCAAGUCGAGCGAACGGACGAGAAGCUUGCUUCUCUGAUGUUAGCGGCGGACGGGUGAGUAACACGUGGAUAACCUACCUAUAAGACUGGGAUAACUUCGGGAAACCGGAGCUAAUACCGGAUAAUAUUUUGAACCGCAUGGUUCAAAAGUGAAAGACGGUCUUGCUGUCACUUAUAGAUGGAUCCGCGCUGCAUUAGCUAGUUGGUAAGGUAACGGCUUACCAAGGCAACGAUGCAUAGCCGACCUGAGAGGGGGAGCGGCCACACUGGAACUGGAACACGGUCCCGAGUCCUACGGGAGGCAGCAGUAGGGAAGCGUCGACAAUGGGCGAAAGCCGGACACAGCAACGCCGAGUGAGAGAUAAAGGUCUUCGGAUCGGAAAACCCGGUUAUGAGGGAAAAACAGAUGCGUAAGGAAAUGCGCACAGCGCGACGGUACCUAAUCAGAAAGCCACGGCUAACUACGGG
This 497-nucleotide ribosomal RNA is filed under the name uncultured bacterium. RNAcentral's name for it is "partial 16S ribosomal RNA". It matches the Rfam family "Bacterial small subunit ribosomal RNA", at positions 28 to 507 of the family's 1533-position model. The record is from RNAcentral.